UACGAAGGGGGCUAGCGUUGUUCGGAAUUACUGGGCGUAAAGGGCGCGUAGGCGGUCCUUCAAGUCAGGCGUGAAAGCCCCGGGCUCAACCUGGGAACCGCGCUUGAGACUGGCACGCUAGAGUUCGGGAGAGGAUGGUGGAAUUCCCAGUGUAGAGGUGAAAUUCGUAGAUAUUGGGAAGAACACCGAUGGCGAAGGCAGCCAUCUGGACCGACACUGACGCUGAGGCGCGAAAGCGUGGGGAGCAAACAGG
Molecule: ribosomal RNA, 253 nt
Filed under: uncultured bacterium
Lineage: Bacteria
Description: partial 16S ribosomal RNA
Rfam family: Bacterial small subunit ribosomal RNA
Source: RNAcentral